Oryctolagus cuniculus (rabbit) is the source of this 607-nucleotide long non-coding RNA. NCBI's taxonomy places the organism in Eukaryota, Metazoa, Chordata, Mammalia, Lagomorpha, Leporidae. The record is from Ensembl.
GGAAUCCGGCUCCUGCGGCGGGAGGAAGUCCAGGAUCGCGGCGAGGAGGCGGCAGGGCCCCGGAUCCUGGGCUGCCGUCCCGGCUCUGGGGUGGCUGGGUGGGUGGGUGCGUGAGUGGGAGGUAGGGCGGGAAGGGGGGAGCCGACAGGCGGUCGGCUUGCGGAGAGCCCCCGGGUGUGGGCGCUGCCUUGAACUCCUUACCCCAGCUGCCUGGCUGCCCCCAGCUUCCCAAAGCUCAAAUAAGAGGGGCCGGCGGCGGGGGAGGAGGAGGAGCCUGGAGGCUCGGCCGCUCCAUUCACACCGCAGCCCUAGCCGCGCUGGUCAGCGCGCACAGCUCCUUGGGGGCGCCCUCGCCGCGGGGGCGGGGGGGGGCGGGCCUGAGGGAGCGUCCCUCGCCGAGACACCCUCCUCUCCCACCCGCCACGCGCUCUCAGCAGGCCUGUGUGGCGCAGCCCUCCCCCCACCGCCCCAUCCUAGCUUUCAGGAGUGUGGGCGCCUCAAGGCCGCGGGCGAGUCCCUCCAGGCAAACAAACAAAAAAGAAAUCAUGAUGGGAAGAGAACUGGGGCGUGUGACAAGGUCAAGCAGAAACUGAGCUGGAUUCAAUAG